Manis javanica (Malayan pangolin) is the source of this 557-nucleotide non-coding RNA. NCBI's taxonomy places the organism in Eukaryota, Metazoa, Chordata, Mammalia, Pholidota, Manidae. The record is from RefSeq and is a predicted model, not a curated record.
CAACCCGCGCGAGGAGCGAGAUAGGCAACCCGGAGGAAGACCGGUGAACAUUAUACCAGUGAUUGCCAAAGCAGAUGCAAUUUCUGAAACUGAAUUACAGAAGUUUAAGAUCAAACUCCUGAGUGAAUUGGUCAGCAAUGGCAUCCAGAUAUACCAGGUCCCAACAGAUGAUGAAACUAUUGCUAAAAUUGAUGCUGUUAUGAAUGUGGGCUCCUAAUUGAAUAUUGAUUGCUUUACAUGUGAAAAACAUCAUUUGCAGUGGGGAACAAGAUGCAGUGCCACUUUGUGAAGCUGAGGGGGGCGUGCACAUGCCUGGAGGACCUGCAGGAACAGACGCUCUGGUGCCACUCCGGUUGACUGGCACCACAACUGGGCACCAGAGGCUUCGCCGAUGUGGGCCUGGAGAAGCAGCUGCUCAGGUGAGCGUCCCACGGCCAGUGAUGCAUGUCGGUGGGGUGGUGCCAUGAGGAAGGAGCAGCUGGUGGGCAUCUCUCCCCCAUGGCCUCCUUGCUAUUGGAUGUCUCUAAGUCCUCGUCUGACCCAAGGAGUGAAGUGGA